Molecule: ribosomal RNA, 1343 nt
Filed under: Flavobacterium sasangense
Lineage: Bacteria; Pseudomonadati; Bacteroidota; Flavobacteriia; Flavobacteriales; Flavobacteriaceae
Description: 16S ribosomal RNA
Rfam family: Bacterial small subunit ribosomal RNA
Source: RNAcentral
CACUUCGGUGUUUGAGACCGGCGCACGGGUGCGUAACGCGUAUGCAAUCUACCUUGUACAGGGGAAUAGCCCAGAGAAAUUUGGAUUAAUGCCCCAUAGUAUAUAACCUUCGCAUGUUGGUUAUAUUAAAGUUCCAACGGUACAAGAUGAGCAUGCGUCCCAUUAGUUAGUUGGUAAGGUAACGGCUUACCAAGACGAUGAUGGGUAGGGGUCCUGAGAGGGAGAUCCCCCACACUGGUACUGAGACACGGACCAGACUCCUACGGGAGGCAGCAGUGAGGAAUAUUGGUCAAUGGUCGCAAGACUGAACCAGCCAUGCCGCGUGCAGGAAGACGGUCCUAUGGAUUGUAAACUGCUUUUAUACAGGAAGAAACCCUCCCACGUGUGGGAGCUUGACGGUACUGUAGGAAUAAGGAUCGGCUAACUCCGUGCCAGCAGCCGCGGUAAUACGGAGGAUCCAAGCGUUAUCCGGAAUCAUUGGGCUUUAAAAGGGUCCGUAGGCGGUCGUUAUAAGUCAGUGGUGAAAGCCCAUCGCUCAACGAUGGCAACUGCCAUUGAUACUGUAAGACUUGAAUGCUUAGGAAGUAACUAGAAUAUGUAGUGUAGCGGUGAAAUGCUUAGAUAUUACAUGGAAUACCAAUUGCGAAGGCAGGUUACUACUAAGUGAUUGACGCUGAUGGACGAAAGCGUGGGGAGCGAACAGGGAUUAGAUACCCUGGUAGUCCACGCCGUAAACGAUGGAUACUAGCUGUUCGGCGCAAUUUGAGUGGCUAAGCGAAAGUGAUAAGUAUCCCACCUGGGGGAGUACGCACGCAAGUGUGAAACUCAAAGGAAUUUGACGGGGGCCCCGCACAAGCGGUGGAGCAUGUGGGUUUAAUUCGAUGAUACGCGAGGAACCUUACCAGGGCUUAAAUGUAGAUUGACAGGUCUGGAAACAGACUUUUCUUCGGACAAUUUACAAGGUGCUGCAUGGUUGUCGUCAGCUCGUGCCGUGAGGUGUCAGGUUAAGUCCUAUAACGAGCGCAACCCCUGUCGUUAGUUGCCAGCGAGUCAUGUCGGGAACUCUAACGAGACUGCCAGUGUAAACUGUGAGGAAGGUGGGGAUGACGUCAAAUCAUCACGGCCCUUACGUCCUGGGCCACACACGUGCUACAAUGGUAGGUACAGAGAGCAGCCACUGCGCGAGCAGGAGCGAAUCUACAAAACCUAUCUCAGUUCGGAUCGGAGUCUGCAACUCGACUCCGUGAAGCUGGAAUCGCUAGUAAUCGGAUAUCAGCCAUGAUCCGGUGAAUACGUUCCCGGGCCUUGUACACACCGCCCGUCAAGCCAUGGAAGCUGGGGGU